GUACACUAAUCAACAUACAUUAAAAUGAAAUUUCAUUGCAUACAGCUCUCAAAGGGUCACCACCUGCAAUAUACACUACAUAGACAUGACAAAAAAUAAAAACAAAAUUGUGCAUAU
This is a non-coding RNA of Pseudonaja textilis, 117 nucleotides long. Lineage: Eukaryota; Metazoa; Chordata; Lepidosauria; Squamata; Elapidae. The record is from RefSeq and is a predicted model, not a curated record.